This 445-nucleotide ribosomal RNA is filed under the name uncultured bacterium. RNAcentral's name for it is "partial 16S ribosomal RNA". It matches the Rfam family "Bacterial small subunit ribosomal RNA", at positions 354 to 796 of the family's 1533-position model. The record is from RNAcentral.
GUGAGGAAUAUUGCGCAAUGGAGGCAACUCUGACGCAGCCAUGCCGCGUGCAGGAAGAAGGCGCUACGCGUUGUAAACUGCUUUUAACCGGGAAGAAACCCCAGGACGUGUCCUGGGUUGACGGUACCGGAGGAAUAAGCACCGGCUAACUUCGUGCCAGCAGCCGCGGUAAUACGAAGGGUGCAAGCGUUAUCCGGAUUCAUUGGGUUUAAAGGGUGCGUAGGCGGAGCGUUAAGUCAGUGGUGAAAUCCUGCAGCUUAACUGUAGACUUGCCAUUGAUACUGGCGCUCUUGAGUGCGCUUGAAGUGGGCGGAAUGUGCCGUGUAGCGGUGAAAUGCUUAGAUAUGGCACAGAACACCAAUUGCGAAGGCAGCUCACUAAGGCGAUACUGACGCUGAGGCACGAAAGCGUGGGGAUCGAACAGGAUUAGAUACCCCAGUAGGCC